RNAcentral lists this long non-coding RNA (1738 nucleotides) under Nicotiana benthamiana. RNAcentral's name for it is "long non-coding RNA (NBEN_LNC036200)". Lineage: Eukaryota; Viridiplantae; Streptophyta; Magnoliopsida; Solanales; Solanaceae. The record is from RNAcentral.
CCCCGUUGACCCCAACUGAGCAGCAGCGAGCAGCUGCCCAGCUCCGCCUCACGACAGCCAUUCCCGUCUAAACAAACCAGUUACAACCACCAAACAAGCCCCCACACCACCAGUUGUUGCUUCAGCUCCUCCGCUUCCAGUGACGCCCAACAACAGCCUUUCAUCUUCGUCUCCAACUCAACCACACAGCCCACUAGUCGACAAGCAGUCACCACCAUGUCAUCUACCACCACGAGCAACACUCUUACGAAGAAAACCGCCCAGUUCAUGCCAGCAGCCCCUCUCGCUGCUUCAUCGUCUUCCUCCUAGUCCCUCAUCUCCCAUGAACACACACGCACAUACACGAGAAAAGAAGCUGAAAAACUGGGAAAAAGUUUGAAAAAAUCGGACAGAAAAUCCGGGCAGAUUUGAGUUAUUUUGGGUUUCAAAAUUCCCAGGCAGAUCUGUUUCUAUUCGAGUUCAUCGUUGUUUCGAUCCGGUUAGUUGUUUAAGUUUCAUUUCUGUCCGUAUUUUGUUUGAUAUUUUCAGAUCUAAAAUUAGUAUAUAUUUUUUGUUCAUUGUUUAUCACUUCUUGAUUAUUUCUUCAGUUUGUUUUAUCAUUUGUUCUUGUUUAGUUUUAAUAUAGAAAUGUUAUAGUUUAAUCAGUUGAAUUUUUUUAUCUUGAUUGUAAUGUUGUUAGAUUUAAUUUGAAGUUCAUUUAAUUAUUGAGUUUAGUGAUUUGAAUCUGUUCUAUUGUUGUGUUAAGUCUAAAUUUAGCUCUGAGUUAGAGAUUUGAAUUUGUUUAUUUGAUCUGUUAAGUUUAAUUUGAAUCUGAGUUUGGAGAUUGAAGUCUACUUGUUUGUUAUGUUUAAUUUUGUUGUUGAAUCUGAAAGUAUGUUUGUUGUUAAAAAUGUUGUUGGUUCUUUGCUGUUCAUAAUAUAAUUUGAAUUUGUUGGUUGAAUUUGAUUAAGAAUUGGUUAUAGUUGCUAUAUUUUGGUUAAUUAAUUUAGGUGAAUUGGUUAUAGCUGAUAAGGGUAGAAUGGUUAAUUUCAAUAAUUUCGGGGGUAUUUUGGAAAUUGAUUAAAUGUGAGCCCAUAACUUUUAAUUAAAAUAAGAGGGGACAAGACUUGUGGGGAGCAUAAUGAUGCAAAGCAAAAAGAGGAUUAAUAAUAUGGUCCAUUGAAAAGAGGGGAACGGUGGGGUCCAUGUUAACUGCUUUUUACUUAAUUAGAAAUUAGAAAUAGUAUGGAUAAUAAUAAAAGGAGUAGUAAUAAUAGUAAAAGGGUAGAAGAAGGGAGAGUCUUGUUUGGGAUAAAUAUGGGUCAUUUUAACACUUAAGGGGAGACUAAUUUUUGUGAGAGAAAUUAGAGAACUUAAGAAUUCAGUCUUGGGAAAAAUAAAAUAAAAAGUGAGGUCUUUUCUUUACUGCUAAAUAUUAGAACUAGUACUGUUACUACUUCACUAGUUAUUGAUGGAUUUUCUGCUUGGUUAUUAAAUCUAUUCCUGGGGUCUUCCUGCAGUGUUUGUUACUGGUUUACUGCUUUGGUUGUUGAACCUGUUGUUUCUAUGUUGGGCUACUGCUGCACUACUAACUUCUUCCUCUUCUUUUGCAUCUAAUAUCAGGUACACAACUGGUACACCUUGUAAGUUGAUACCAUGAAACAUGAAUACAAAUAAAGAGUUGAAGUUUUAAUUUUAUGUAGUUUUGCUACUUAAUGUAUUUAGGCCACUCUAUAUACUAUUGUUGUAUAAGUUUCUG